GGGAUUUGUGAAAAGUUAUAUAUUAUCGAGUCGAGUUCGAGUCGGGCUUUAGCAUUACCCACACCUGCCGUGAUUCUGUUGCGGUUCGAGUACAUGAGGGGUGGAGUAAAUUGCGACCCCUAUCCUUAGGAAUUCCUUUUGGGGGAGUUCCAAGGUUCAAAUCCUGGUGGUGGCAUACUACCACAGUAUCGCUUAGGAAGAAUUAAUGAACUAGCUCACAAUAGUAUGGACUCAUUCAUGUGCAACGGUAACUUGUCUUUUUAACCUUGUUGAGGAGACAUGGGAGGCUUUAUAUGAUAGGCACUCUGCUCAGGAGGUUGUGUAAGUAAAUGAAUCUUUUAAGGUAAGAUAAGGUUCCAAAAACAUGAAGAAUGUUACAUUUACCAAAAGAUAUAUGUUUAAGAAGUUGAAUGUGUGUUGACCU
Molecule: long non-coding RNA, 424 nt
Filed under: Phoenix dactylifera (date palm)
Lineage: Eukaryota; Viridiplantae; Streptophyta; Magnoliopsida; Arecales; Arecaceae
Description: long non-coding RNA (PDAC_LNC003466)
Source: RNAcentral